Molecule: ribosomal RNA, 429 nt
Filed under: Bacteroidota bacterium
Lineage: Bacteria; Pseudomonadati; Bacteroidota
Description: Bacteroidetes bacterium partial 16S ribosomal RNA
Rfam family: Bacterial small subunit ribosomal RNA
Source: RNAcentral
UAGGGAAUCUUCCGCAAUGGACGCAAGUCUGACGGAGCAACGCCGCGUGAGUGAAGAAGGAUUUCGGUUCGUAAAACUCUGUUGUUAGAGAAGAACAGCGCAUAGAGUAACUGUUAUGCGUGUGACGGUAUCUAACCAGAAAGCCACGGCUAACUACGUGCCAGCAGCCGCGGUAAUACGUAGGUGGCAAGCGUUGUCCGGAUUUAUUGGGCGUAAAGCGAGCGCAGGCGGUCAAUUAAGUCUGAUGUGAAAGCCCCCGGCUCAACCGGGGAGGGUCAUUGGAAACUGGUUGACUGGAGUGCAGAAGAGGAGGGUGGAAUUCCAUGUGUAGCGGUGAAAUGCGUAGAUAUAUGGAGGAACACCAGUGGCGAAGGCGACUCUCUGGUCUGUAACUGACGCUGAGGCUCGAAAGCGUGGGUAGCAAACAGG